Vespa velutina is the source of this 3083-nucleotide long non-coding RNA. RefSeq lists it as uncharacterized. NCBI's taxonomy places the organism in Eukaryota, Metazoa, Arthropoda, Insecta, Hymenoptera, Vespidae. The record is from RefSeq and is a predicted model, not a curated record. The transcript is spliced from 7 exons.
AUGAGAGCUAUUGAUCAUGAUAGUGAUCUAAAGUCAUUUGAAAUAUUAAAAAGACAUAUAUCCUGUCUCGUACGUUAUUUAAAAAAAAAUGUUUAAAUAACAUAAAAGAAUUAUCUUUUAAGAUCAACUAUACUUAAAAUAUCUCGAAACGAUUAAUAUGUGACUUAAACAAUUCGAUCACUUUCACGAUCAUUCAAAUCAUAUAACAGGGUGGAUCUUUUAAGUAAAUUAGAAAGUUCUACCUAAUCCAAUGAGAAUAGGAACAACGACGAUGAAAACGACUAAAUAGGACCGACGACGACGACGACGAUGACGAUUGAUGGGUCACUUUUUUUUAUAUUUUUGGUAAAAAGUCGAAGAUAUAAAAAAAGUAUUUUUUGCAUCAUAAUAAGCCAAAGAGAUAUUUAGGUGGUCUUACUUAAAAGGAUCAUUCUUUAUAUAGAAAUGUUACGAUACGUUAUCGGUAAUCUUAUCAACGCGAUACAUAUAUCCGGUGUCUAUUUUAAAGGUGAUACAAAUUUUGUAAAGUGAGAUAUAGGAAGUAACGAAACUGGCAGAUUGGUGUCGUACAUGGAACGAGGAAACUGGUUGACAGCUGUCUGAGAGUUUUCACCGCGACGACGACGACAACGACGACGACGACGACGACGACGACGUCGAAGACGAAAACGACGACAACGAAGACGAAGACGACGACGAUGAAGACGACGACGACGGUGUUAUCUCCAUAGCUGGAUCAAUUUCCUGGAUCCUUUUCGUAUAUGGGAUCAUAGACAAAAAGGAAAAGGAUCUUAAUUGAAUGUUGAUCAAUUUUACUCGCGCUCUUAGAAAUAUUCAAUAAUUUCGCGUUGACGUGUCCCAGGAAAGCAUAUUAACACGUCGACUACGUUUGGAACGUAAUCUACAAGUUAUGCAUCUCGCAUCUAAUUUAUUUUCCAUUCCGCUCUAGUUCCUCCUAGUAGAACAUGUCAUCAUCAGUGCUAGAUCUUAUCUUAAGAAUCGUAUUCCGGUUUUAGGUGAAACAUACGCUGAGGAAUAGCUGGUUGCCUUGGAUGCCUAAUUCAAGAACGAACGUUGCCAUUAGUGGUCGAGUGCAUUCGUGUUUGUGAAAAUUUAAGCCAAAAAAAGAGAAACUAAGAAACUGAGAAAAAUAGAGAGCGAAAGAGGAUCAUCGAAGAUGAUUAAGAGUAUUCGAGUGGACUGCGAUUCGAUUCCUAAUUCGCUCAAUUUCGGAUGCAAUUACCAUGUCAACGCGGUUGGCUUAUCGAUCACUUCGAUUCGAUCACAUUCGACGAAUGGUGUUUAUACGAUGAUUCAUGAUUUAUCGAUCAGGAGUAUUAUAGCUUUGUAUUGAUCAAUGAAAAAUUCUCAAUAUCGAGCAAGCUAUCAAAGGAAAUCGUGUGUUACUGGUUGGUUACAUGGAACAUAUUUGCUGAAAUUUGUCCUGGUUACUGGCAAAUGCAUCGCUUGUUAUCCUAUUAUCUGGAUUAUGGUGCGUUAUGUGGAGAUCUGACGAGGAAAUCGAGAACGAGAAUGAGAACGAGAAUGAGAACGAGCUGAAGCUAGCAAGAGCUUUUCCUCUCAUUUUCACCAAGGAUGCGGCUAUAAUUCAUGAAGUGGUGCUAAUUCCUUGGCAACCACCGUCGCACCGUCUCGUCAAGAGGCUUUGCGCGUCGAAACAGCUUCCCAUUUCACAGCGGAGUUAGGAAAUGUAUUGUUUUCUCGAAAGAGUAUCCCACCGAGACCAAAAUGGUGUAGACUGUACCAACCAUCUAGGAUCCACGAACGUCGGAAUAGUGGCAAGCAACCCUAAUGUCCCUCGUGUCUUUGUUUGAGUGCUUAAGAGAGAAGAAAAUCCCCCCGGUUGGUAUUUCAAGAGGAGUGACGUUUGGACGCGGAUUAGACCGCGGACAUGUUAAUGAUAAAAAGAGAAUAUAUAAUUCGUCGGUAUUUUAUCUGUGAAAAAAAAAAUAUUUCUAACGUUACAAAUAUUUCGUAAAUAAUUCAUUGAUAUCAAAUUGUUACACGUUGAGUGAUCAUUUUAUAUUUAUUUUAAUGAAAUAUCAUAACAUUUUGUAAUUAUAACUGUAUAUGAGUGAUGUAUAACGUACGUAUAUUUAUAAUUGUGUAUUAAAAAAAAAAAAAAAAAAAAAGAAAAAAAAAAGGAAGGGUAGGAGGUAAAAGAAAUAUGCCUAUUAAUAUUCAUAAUUAUUCGUAGAAAUGUAAAUAAUUUUGAGAAGUAAUUAAUAAGUAAGCGAUUAAAUUAAAGAAUAGACGCGAGACGAUAGUAUUUGCUUGAUUAUCGAUAAAACUUACUCAAAGGUAACUACGUAAUGGUAUUGUUUGAAUGAAGAUAUGCACUCGUCAAAGAAUGGACAAUUGUAUUGUUAGUAACAAUGACAACGACUGUGCUUUUGUACUCAACGUCGUAUCUACCACCAUAACUAAUUAGAAUUGUGGAAACUCGUUAACCUUUCUCUUUCACUCUCUUUCUCUCUCUCUCUCUCUUUCUCUCUUUCUUUUCAACCCAUUCAUUCAUUCUCUUUGUAUAGUUACUAAUUGGAAAUAUUAUUACGAAUCGACUAAAAUUUAGCAUCAAAGCUCUCUAAAUAUAUUGAACGAGAUAUGUCUUCUCAAGAAGGACUUCCAUUGACGUCAUAUUCAUUUAUUUAUUAUUUUCAGAAAAAGCAUACAAAGAGAAAGACAGAGAGUGAGAGAGAGAGAGAGAGAGAGAGAGAGAGAGAGAGGAUGUGAGGGAAAGAAAAAAAGAGAGAGAGAGAGGACCGUAAAUUAUUCGGCGAAGAGGAUAAAAAGAUCAAUAGAUAUUUCUUUUUCUAUUUAAUACACGACGUGCCAUUUUUUACGAUGACGUAUAACACUUCUUUACCAUUUUAUUAAAAGCUUUCUUGCAGAAGCAGUGCUACGAAAAGGUAUCAAUAUCUGUUCCAAGUAAAGAGUGGCAUUUGUAGAUGUCGACAAACGUUUUAUUUUUUACUUCUACUGUUACUUCACUAGCACUGCUGCAUGAUACUUCCGUAUUAUAUACGGUCCUGUGAAGUGUACCAACCCUGUCGUUGGCAGCU